RNAcentral lists this long non-coding RNA (822 nucleotides) under Mytilus galloprovincialis (Mediterranean mussel). The record is from RNAcentral. Lineage: Eukaryota; Metazoa; Mollusca; Bivalvia; Mytilida; Mytilidae.
CGUGUGACUCAUGUUUCGUGUUUGUUUAUAUAUUCAGUAAGUGCUUCCUUGUCCAUGAAACAAAAGUUGUGUCCAUAAUGAUAAACUUCAAAGGCAAGGUGGAUCAAUCUUGGAUGAGCAACAUUAUAUAUAUAUGCAAUCUAAAGAGAUUGCUCGUGUAUAAUGCUGCAUUUUGCAUCAUGCACCACGUGCAGUGCGUUGACACGUGUAUCUCAGAAUGCAAUAUACUAAAACCGUGGGUGCCAACCACUUCAAAAACACAUACUAAUACUUACGUAAAGAUUGGUGUAAUUUUUUCCGAAGAAUUUGAAUGUUCUUUUUAAUUUAACUUUAUCGGAACCACCGUCGUCAAUUGUUGGUGUUAGUUGGUCUCCAUAGGUUGAAUUGAAGGGGUAGAGUUCGGAAAGUGAAAUUCCACUACACAAAACCGCACAGUUUACUAUAGUGAUUAAUGAGAAUAAGAACUUAGCACUGAACCAAUUAGUUCUUAACACAUUUGAACACAUUAUAUUUUAAAAACGGCAUUGAUCUUGAAAUCUUACAUCCUGACGAUUUCUUUAUACCAUUCAUUUCGUCAGGAAAAUGAUUUCACAAAAAUUUCACGUUUGAAAUUAUUAAAUAAUCCAUACUUUAAUACAUUGUAAUUCCCAAUAAUAAACACACACACAACUAUUCAUCUUCCGUUUUAAUUUUCUCAAUGCAUAACAUCCUAUAUCAUGGCCUAACUUAUAACCAUAUGAUUGUGUAGUUAACGUGUAAAUAUAGGUCAUCUGUUCAUGUAAAAGGUUGGGUGUGGUUACAUUUUAUACAACUGACAGAUGU